This 369-nucleotide ribosomal RNA is filed under the name uncultured bacterium. RNAcentral's name for it is "bacterial SSU rRNA". It matches the Rfam family "Bacterial small subunit ribosomal RNA", at positions 525 to 896 of the family's 1533-position model. The record is from RNAcentral.
ACGUAGGGUGCAAGCGUUAUCCGGAAUCAUUGGGUUUAAAGGGUCCGCAGGCGGGUUUAUAAGUCAGUGGUGAAAGCCUACAGCUCAACUGUAGAACUGCCAUUGAAACUGUAGAUCUUGAAUUCGGUCGAAGUGGGCGGAAUAUGACAUGUAGCGGUGAAAUGCUUAGAUAUGUCAUAGAACACCGAUAGCGAAGGCAGCUCACUAGGCCUGGAUUGACGCUCAGGGACGAAAGCGUGGGGAGCAAACAGGAUUAGAUACCCUGGUAGUCCACGCCGUAAACUAUGAUUACUCGUUUUCAGCCCCUUGGGGUUGGAGACUAAGCGAAAGUGAUAAGUAAUCCACCUGGGGAGUACGAUCGCAAGGUUG